RNAcentral lists this ribosomal RNA (2586 nucleotides) under Vibrio cholerae HE-25. RNAcentral describes it as "bacterial LSU rRNA". It matches the Rfam family "Bacterial large subunit ribosomal RNA", at positions 1 to 2632 of the family's 2925-position model. The record is from RNAcentral. Lineage: Bacteria; Pseudomonadati; Pseudomonadota; Gammaproteobacteria; Vibrionales; Vibrionaceae.
UUAAGUGACUAAGCGUACACGGUGGAUGCCUGGGCAGUCAGAGGCGAUGAAGGACGUACUAACUUGCGAUAAGCGCAGAUAAGGCAGUAAGAGCCGUUUGAGUCUGCGAUUUCCGAAUGGGGAAACCCAACUGCAUAAGCAGUUACUGUUAACUGAAUACAUAGGUUAACAGAGCAAACCGGGGGAACUGAAACAUCUAAGUACCCCGAGGAGAAGAAAUCAACCGAGAUUCCGGUAGUAGCGGCGAGCGAACCUGGAUUAGCCCUUAAGCACUCGGUGAAGUAGGUGAACAAGCUGGAAAGCUUGGCGAUACAGGGUGAUAGCCCCGUAACCGACGCUUCAUCGAGCGUGAAAUCGAGUAGGGCGGGACACGUGAUAUCCUGUCUGAAUAUGGGGGGACCAUCCUCCAAGGCUAAAUACUCCUGACUGACCGAUAGUGAACCAGUACCGUGAGGGAAAGGCGAAAAGAACCCCUGUGAGGGGAGUGAAAUAGAACCUGAAACCGUGUACGUACAAGCAGUAGGAGCACCUUCGUGGUGUGACUGCGUACCUUUUGUAUAAUGGGUCAGCGACUUAUAUUCAGUGGCAAGGUUAACCGUAUAGGGGAGCCGUAGCGAAAGCGAGUCUUAACGUGGGCGCUCAGUCUCUGGAUAUAGACCCGAAACCGGGUGAUCUAGCCAUGGGCAGGUUGAAGGUUGAGUAACAUCAACUGGAGGACCGAACCGACUAAUGUUGAAAAAUUAGCGGAUGACUUGUGGCUAGGGGUGAAAGGCCAAUCAAACUCGGAGAUAGCUGGUUCUCCCCGAAAGCUAUUUAGGUAGCGCCUCGGACGAAUACUACUGGGGUAGAGCACUGUUAAGGCUAGGGGGUCAUCCCGACUUACCAACCCUUUGCAAACUCCGAAUACCAGUAAGUACUAUCCGGGAGACACACGGCGGGUGCUAACGUCCGUCGUGGAGAGGGAAACAACCCAGACCGCCAGCUAAGGUCCCAAAGUAUUGCUAAGUGGGAAACGAUGUGGGAAGGCUCAGACAGCUAGGAUGUUGGCUUAGAAGCAGCCAUCAUUUAAAGAAAGCGUAAUAGCUCACUAGUCGAGUCGGCCUGCGCGGAAGAUGUAACGGGGCUAAGCAAUACACCGAAGCUGCGGCAAUUCUUUUAGAUAUUGGGUAGGGGAGCGUUCUGUAAGCCGUUGAAGGUGAAUCGUAAGGUUUGCUGGAGGUAUCAGAAGUGCGAAUGCUGACAUGAGUAACGACAAAGGGGGUGAAAAACCUCCUCGCCGGAAGACCAAGGGUUCCUGUCCAACGUUAAUCGGGGCAGGGUGAGUCGACCCCUAAGGUGAGGCCGAAAGGCGUAAUCGAUGGGAAACGGGUUAAUAUUCCCGUACUUCUGACUAUUGCGAUGGAGGGACGGAGAAGGCUAGGUGGGCCAGGCGACGGUUGUCCUGGUUCAAGUGCGUAGGCUUGAGAGUUAGGUAAAUCCGGCUCUCUCUAAGGCUGAGACACGACGUCGAGCUGCUACGGCAGUGAAGUCAUUGAUGCCAUGCUUCCAGGAAAAGCCUCUAAGCUUCAGAUAGUCAGGAAUCGUACCCCAAACCGACACAGGUGGUCGGGUAGAGAAUACCAAGGCGCUUGAGAGAACUCGGGUGAAGGAACUAGGCAAAAUGGUACCGUAACUUCGGGAGAAGGUACGCUCUUGAUGGUGAAGUCCCUCGCGGAUGGAGCUGACGAGAGUCGCAGAUACCAGGUGGCUGCAACUGUUUAUUAAAAACACAGCACUGUGCAAAAUCGCAAGAUGACGUAUACGGUGUGACGCCUGCCCGGUGCCGGAAGGUUAAUUGAUGGGGUUAGCGCAAGCGAAGCUCUUGAUCGAAGCCCCGGUAAACGGCGGCCGUAACUAUAACGGUCCUAAGGUAGCGAAAUUCCUUGUCGGGUAAGUUCCGACCUGCACGAAUGGCGUAAUGAUGGCCACGCUGUCUCCACCCGAGACUCAGUGAAAUUGAAAUCGCUGUGAAGAUGCAGUGUACCCGCGGCUAGACGGAAAGACCCCGUGAACCUUUACUACAGCUUGGCACUGAACAUUGAACCUACAUGUGUAGGAUAGGUGGGAGGCUAUGAAGACGUGACGCCAGUUGCGUUGGAGCCGUCCUUGAAAUACCACCCUUGUAUGUUUGAUGUUCUAACUUAGACCCGUUAUCCGGGUUGAGGACAGUGCCUGGUGGGUAGUUUGACUGGGGCGGUCUCCUCCCAAAGAGUAACGGAGGAGCACGAAGGUGGGCUAAUCACGGUUGGACAUCGUGAGGUUAGUGCAAUGGCAUAAGCCCGCUUAACUGCGAGAAUGACGGUUCGAGCAGGUGCGAAAGCAGGUCAUAGUGAUCCGGUGGUUCUGUAUGGAAGGGCCAUCGCUCAACGGAUAAAAGGUACUCCGGGGAUAACAGGCUGAUACCGCCCAAGAGUUCAUAUCGACGGCGGUGUUUGGCACCUCGAUGUCGGCUCAUCACAUCCUGGGGCUGAAGUCGGUCCCAAGGGUAUGGCUGUUCGCCAUUUAAAGUGGUACGCGAGCUGGGUUUAGAACGUCGUGAGACAGUUC